Molecule: ribosomal RNA, 254 nt
Filed under: uncultured prokaryote
Description: partial 16S ribosomal RNA
Rfam family: Bacterial small subunit ribosomal RNA
Source: RNAcentral
UACAUGGGGUGCAAACGUUGCUCGGAAUUAUUGGGCGUAAAGCGCGCGUAGGCGGUUACUCAAGUCGGAUGUGAAAGCCCUCGGCUUAACUGAGGAAGUGCGCCCGAAACUGAGUAGCUAGAGUACUAAAGAGGGUCGCGGAAUUCCCGGUGUAGAGGUGAAAUUCGUAGAUAUCGGGAGGAACACCGGUGGCGAAGGCGGCGACCUGGGUAGAUACUGACGCUGAGGCGCGAAAGCGUGGGGAGCAAACAGGA